RNAcentral lists this transfer RNA (86 nucleotides) under Salmonella enterica subsp. arizonae. RNAcentral describes it as "tRNA-Leu(tag)". It matches the Rfam family "tRNA". From Rfam's summary of the family: Transfer RNA (tRNA) molecules are approximately 80 nucleotides in length. Their secondary structure includes four short double-helical elements and three loops (D, anti-codon, and T loops). Lineage: Bacteria; Pseudomonadati; Pseudomonadota; Gammaproteobacteria; Enterobacterales; Enterobacteriaceae. The record is from RNAcentral.
GCGGGAGUGGCGAAAUUGGUAGACGCACCAGAUUUAGGUUCUGGCGCCGCAAGGUUGUGCGAGUUCAAGUCUCGCCUCCCGCACCA